Molecule: ribosomal RNA, 301 nt
Filed under: uncultured bacterium
Lineage: Bacteria
Description: partial 16S ribosomal RNA
Rfam family: Bacterial small subunit ribosomal RNA
Source: RNAcentral
CAGUAGCCGCGGGAAUACGUAGGGUGCGAGCGUUAAUCGGAAUUACUGGGCGUAAAGCGUGCGCAGGCGGUUUUGUAAGACAGAGGUGAAAUCCCCGGGCUCAACCUGAGAACUGCCUUUGUGACUGCAAGGCUAGAGUACGGCAGAGGGGGAUGGAAUUCCGCGUUUAGCAGUGAAAUGCGUAGAUAUGCGGAGGAACACCGAUGGCGAAGGCAAUCCCCUGGGCCUGUACUGACGCUCAUGCACGAAAGCGUGGGGAGCAAACAGGAUUAGAUACCCCCGUAGUCCCUGUAUCUUAUAC